AAAGCACUUUCAGUCGUGAGGAAGGUAGUGUAGUUAAUAGCUGCAUUAUUUGACGUUUAGCGACAGAAGAAGCACCGGCUAACUCCGUGCCAGCAGCCGCGGUAAUACGGAGGGUGCGAGCGUUAAUCGGAAUUACUGGGCGUAAAGCGCAUGCAGGUGGUUUGUUAAGUCAGAUGUGAAAGCCCGGGGCUCAACCUCGGAAUUGCAUUUGAAACUGGCAGACUAGAGUACUGUAGAGGGGGUAGAAUUUCAGGUGUAGCGGUGAAAAUGCGUAGAGAUCUGAAGGAAUACCGGUGGCGAAGGCGGCCCCCUGGACAGAUACUGACACUCAGAUGCGAAAGCGUGGGGAGCAAACAGGAUUAGAUACCCUGGUAG
Molecule: ribosomal RNA, 375 nt
Filed under: uncultured bacterium
Lineage: Bacteria
Description: bacterial SSU rRNA
Rfam family: Bacterial small subunit ribosomal RNA
Source: RNAcentral